GGGCCGGAGAUUGAGAACAGUUGAAAGUGUAUACAGUCGUGUAGAAGAUGAGAAGGUCAUGUCUGACCACAAAGGACAAAAGGAGAAAAACAGGAUGUCAGGUUGGGCAGUAAAAACAGGAACUUGUAACCGCAGAAGCAUUAAUGACGCCAAUAUAGGUAACCAAUGAAGAGAACCCCUUGCUCGCAUGUAUUGCGCGUGGACAAGGUGACUUAGCCAAUAAGCUUAUGCGUGAUCGCGUGUACGGAAGUGAAACAAACAUAAAUGUAGUCAUAGAAGCUUCAAUAAACGGAGUUCUGCUUUACCCA
Molecule: long non-coding RNA, 308 nt
Organism: Manacus vitellinus (golden-collared manakin)
Lineage: Eukaryota; Metazoa; Chordata; Aves; Passeriformes; Pipridae
Exons: 2
Source: RefSeq, a predicted model, not a curated record